Long non-coding RNA from Xenopus tropicalis (tropical clawed frog), 4459 nucleotides. RefSeq annotates it as nucleobindin 2 like. The transcript has 11 exons. Lineage: Eukaryota; Metazoa; Chordata; Amphibia; Anura; Pipidae. The record is from RefSeq and is a predicted model, not a curated record.
CUGGGAGUUCCUGUGUCUCGUAGCCCCUCCCCCAACAAACUGAAAGUAAAUUCCUGUCUCAGAGCAGAACAGGGAGUCACCGUGACAGAAAUAUCCUUCCAAUAAGGAAAUGGCCCCCGUGAGGGCUUUAUAACAUGAGGGAUAAGCCCCCCCCAGGCUGCACUGCCCCUCAGUAUGGGGCCCCCCAGCCUCUCCUGGUUCCUACUGAUCUCUCUCUCCCUCACAGGAACAGAUGCUUUGGGGGUCAAAACAAGUGACGUUCCCAUUAAAUCCCAGAGGAACCAGGAAGCAUUUAUCCCGUGUACAGUAACGGAUUAUGGUGCUGGGAGAGUGGAUCCAAAGCUUCUCUCUGUCGAGUGGAAACUGAAACCCCUGAAUGGAAGUGAAGAACAAGUGUAUCUGUAUGUGUCUGGGACUCCCACCCCCACCCGGCCCGGAUCCUACAUAUCCAGGGACCUUAUAACCGGCAAUGUGGGGCUUCACUUACCCCGGGUUCAGUUCACAGAUGAAGGAGAAUAUACCUGCACUGUCAUUUAUACCCCUAAUAAAGCCGUGGGGCACUCUGUCCUGCAGGUGUCAGUGCAACCAACUGUCAGUUUGCAAUAUACUGAUCUCAGCAUCCUUCUUGAGACGGAGAAGACAGUUCAAUGCACAAUCGGUGGGUUUUACCCCAAAGAUAUAAAAAUAAAGUGGGUGAAACGGCUCAGUGAGACCAACUGCAUCUCGCUGGAUAAGGAAAGCUGCACGGGGGAAACGUCUGGGAAUGAGGACGGGACAUUCAAUGUUACAAGUCACCUAACGAUAAAGCCUUCCCUGGAGGAUGAUGGGAGAAGGUAUUUGUGUGUCAUUGAGCACCGCUCCCUGGAUACAGAACUGAAAUUGGGGUUCACUCUCUCAGUAACAGAGCCCCCCCCUGAAGAUAAGACGACUGCCCCAGUUGUGAUUACAGUAUGCGUUUUACUAAUAACUCUAGGUCUCUGUUACUUUCUCUACUUGAAAUUCCUAAAGAAAGAACCCCCCAAACUCUCUCCCAUUACCGGAGCGGAACAUUUGGUGCAUAUGAACGAGGCGACUCUCUCCUGCCAGAUCUCUGGUUUCCGACCCAAACCCAUCAGAAUUACAUUGUGUUUGCAAAGAAAAGGGGGAGAAGUGAUGGAAAUUUACUCCUGGGAUUCUGAGGCCCAAACGGACCAUUCUAUAAAGAGAAAGGAACUGUCUGUGCCUAUUGAGUUGGAGAGAGAAGGGUUAGUGGGUAACGGGGAGACUAAUCUGCCCCCAACUCAGAGGGCGCUGCGAGUGGAAAUGGUUCCUCUGAUAAAAACAAGUAAAAAGCACAUUUCCAACUGUCAGUGCACAAUCCGUAUAACCCCCGACAUAGAGGAAGAUGAUGGGGCAGAACUGACUGUGAGGGUCACUCACUCUGCCCUGAGGGGCCCCAUCUCUGUGUCCUGUCGGCUGAAGGUGAAUGGAGUCCCCCCCACAAUAUCAGAUAUUGUACCCCCGCUCCGAAUCCUCAAUGAAGAACCCGUGACUCUGACCUGCCCCAUCAAUGGGUUCAAGCCGAAGCCGCUCUCUGUUACUUGGCUGAAAGUGGAUUCGGGGGGUCGGGAAACAGAACUUCUGAGCUGGGAUCGGGGUUCAACCGACAUCCGUGAUCCCAAAUAUUCCCAUCAGAUGCUGGAGACUGAACAUGGAGAGCAUUCUAAUGCUUUUAUAAGUGUUUUGGCAAUGAAACCAACUGUAAAAGAAGAUCAUGGGGCAAAAUAUAUCUGUAGAACCUACCAUUAUGCAACUGGUUCCCGGGCAGACAAAACCAUGGAAAUGCUGGUUUCAGCUGCCCCAGAGUUGGGCCCCAUACAGAAAUCCCCAGAGAUUCUAUACGUUGGGGAGGAGAUGACGUUAUCCUGCAGAAUCCAUUCCUUCCACCCAGAACCCCUGGGAGUUCGCUGGUAUAAGGGGGAUGAGUUCUUGGCAUCAAGCACUGAUCAAGCCCACCGGGGCGACAGUCACCUGUUAGACUGUACCAGCCGUGCCACAUACAGACCCAGUGUGAGGGACAUUGGGAAGAGCUUCCGGUGUGAGGUCUCUCAUGAGAGUCUCCAACAUCCUAAAUGUGUUUCAUGGGAACUGAAACAUCUGGUAAGUGAGCCAAGGGUAAGUGCCAUAAAGUGUCACCCUGAGGCCCCUGAGUGCAACCAACCUGCAACAUUAUCCUGCGCUAUAGAGAAUUAUUAUCCUAAAGACCUCAAAAUCCGAUGGUAUCGGGGGCUGGAAGUCAUCUCUUCUCAUAAUGAUACAGAGACCAAGGAAGACCCCCCCGGAUCAGGACUUUUUUCCAAAAUGACAGAAAUACAUCUCACCCCCACCCUUAGUGACCACGGCACAGAAUUCCACAUGGAGAUAAUUCACAACAUGAAAAUCACCAAAAAGACAUUUUGUUUGCAAUUUAAAGGGUUCCCUGAAGUUAAAGAUAUAACUUGCAAUAAGUACCCCCCAAAAUAUGGAGAAGCCCUAACCCUAAGCUGCGAGGUGAUUGGAUGCAGCGCCCGAGACAUCACAGCGGAAUGGCGAGAGGGCAAUAAUCCCAUAAGGGGGCAGAUGAGAGCAGAACCCCAAACAGACAGAGAUUCAGUCACAUUCCUCCUCACACUGACGCCCACAGCAGAGCAUUAUGGGAAAUUACUCACCUGCCUGAUAAAGCACAAGGACCUACCUCAGCCCAUUAAGAAGAAUAUUUCUCUGAAGCUGCCGGAUGUGCCGCCCACCCUAUCAGAGAUCACGGCCUCCCCAGGGGAACCAAUAAUCAACAGGGAAACCACCCUCAGUGUAACCAUCUCUGGCUUCUCCCAGAAGAACCUCCAAGUCCGAUGGUACAAUUCCUUCAUGCCCCUCACUGCAAAUAUCCAGACCACCGAGCCACGGAUUGGGGGGGACCGGUUAUAUUGCUGCACCAGCAGCGUCACUUACACCCCAAAAACAUCGGAUACGGGAAUGUCUAUUCGCUGCGAAGUCAUCGCCAACAGGGAGACCCGGGAGCGACGGUACCAGUUGCCUAUAGCAUCAGGAGAUGAAGGGGAUGGAAGGAACCAGCCAAAAGCAGCUUCAGGAGAUCAGUUGGAUGGAAGGAACCAGCCAGAAAUAGGAGAGAUUGAGUGUGUGACCCCCCCCAGCCCCAGGGAGGGAGAGGCCGUUACCCUUCAGUGCAUCAUUAGAGGGCAAGAUGUGGAACAUGGAGACUUCUCCUGGAGUGACGGGAUGUUCCCCAUUGAUGAAAGCCAAAUAGACAACUCCAACCUCCCUGAUGGCUCCGGCUGUAUCUCCAGGGUCACCUUCACUCCUGAUGAUGGGCAAAUCAGAUUUGAGGCCACGUUUAACUUAGUAACCACGGAGAGAACUUACCAACUCCCAUGGGUAUGAGAUUUGUUAUGGGCUACUGGGGAUAUCUACCUGCACCAAACGUAGCAGUGUCUCAGCCCAGAAGAUCUGUCUAGGUGCCAGUACAAGUGCCACCUAUCAGUGUAGGUUGAAACGUGGCUGGUGUGAGGGACAGGCGAGUUCCCUUAUGGUAUUAGAUUGUGUGCUCACCUGGUCAGUAUGUUGUGGCACUGACAGAAGAAAAGCUGAAAUCUGCUUCUGAUCACAUGACUUGCCAAGUGGUAAAUGUAAAGAGACUACAGGUCAGAGGGCCACCCAAUGAGUCCUACCCAAUGAAUCUCCCACUCAGUGAGUCUUCCACCCAAUGAGUCUCCCACACAAUGAGUCUCCCACCCAAUGCAUCUCCCACCCAAUGAGUCCUACUCAAUGAGUCUCCCACACAAUGAGUCUCCCACCCAAUGAGUCUCCCACACAAUGAGUCUCCCACCCAAUGAGUCCCACUCAAUGCAUCUCCCACUCAAUGCAUCUCCCACCCAAUGAGUCCCACUCAAUGCAUCUCCCACCCAAUGAGUCCUACUCAAUGAGUCUCCCACCCAAUGAGUCUCCCACCCAAUGAGUCCCACUCAAUGCAUCUCCCACCCAAUAAGUCCUACUCAAUGAGUCUCCCACUCAAUGCAUCUUCCACCCAAUGAGUCUCCCACACAAUGAGUCUCCCACACAAUGAGUCUCCCAACCAAUGAGUCCCACUCAAUGCAUCUCCCACCCAAUGAGUCCUACUUAAUGAGUCUCCCACCCAAUGAGUCUCCCACUCAAUGAGUCCCCCACCCGAUGAGUCUCUCACCCAAUGCAUCUCUCACCAAAUGAGUCCCCCACCCAAUGAGUCUCCCACCCAAUGAGUCCCACUCAAUGAGUCUCCCACCCAAUGAGUCCCACCCAAUGAGUCUCCCACCCAAUGAGUCCCACUCAAUGAGUCCCCCACUGUGUUACUGUUCAUAUAAACGAGGUAACAGGAAGUAACCAAUGAACUGUCAGGAAGAAUUCUAAGAUCCUGUUGCAAAAGCUGCAGAACUUGGUGCUAUAAAUA